RNAcentral lists this ribosomal RNA (433 nucleotides) under uncultured bacterium. RNAcentral describes it as "partial 16S ribosomal RNA". It matches the Rfam family "Bacterial small subunit ribosomal RNA", at positions 29 to 507 of the family's 1533-position model. The record is from RNAcentral.
AACGAACGCUGGCGGUAUGCCUAACACAUGCAAGUCGAACGAGACCUUCGGGUCUAGUGGCGCACGGGUGCGUAACGCGUGGGAACCUGCCCUUAGGUUCGGAAUAACUCCCCGAAAGGGGUGCUAAUACCGGAUAAUGUCUUCGGACCAAAGAUUUAUCGCCUUUGGAUGGGCCCGCGUUGGAUUAGCUAGUUGGUAGGGUAAAAGCCUACCAAGGCGACGAUCCAUAGCUGGUCUGAGAGGAUGAUCAGCCACACUGGGACUGAGACACGGCCCAGACUCCUACGGGAGGCAGCAGUGGGGAAUAUUGGACAAGGGGCGAAAGCCUGAUCCAGCAAUGCCGCGUGAGUGAUGAAGGCCUUAGGGUUGUAAAGCUCUUUUACCCGGGAUGAUAAUGACAGUACCGGGAGAAUAAGCUCCGGCUAACUCCGUG